UACGAAGGGGGCUAGCGUUGCUCGGAAUUACUGGGCGUAAAGGGCGCGUAGGCGGGUCGUUUAGUUAGAGGUGAAAGCCCAGGGCUCAACCCUGGAAUUGCCUUUAAUACUGGCGGCCUUGAGUAUGGCAGAGGUGUGUGGAACUCCGAGUGUAGAGGUGAAAUUCGUAGAUAUUCGGAAGAACACCAGUGGCGAAGGCGACACACUGGGCCAUUACUGACGCUGAGGAGCGAAAGUGUGGGGAGGCGAACAGG
RNAcentral lists this ribosomal RNA (254 nucleotides) under uncultured bacterium. RNAcentral's name for it is "partial 16S ribosomal RNA". It matches the Rfam family "Bacterial small subunit ribosomal RNA", at positions 524 to 776 of the family's 1533-position model. The record is from RNAcentral.